This 1659-nucleotide long non-coding RNA is filed under the name Pogona vitticeps (central bearded dragon). RNAcentral describes it as "lncRNA (ENSPVIG00000016103.1)". Lineage: Eukaryota; Metazoa; Chordata; Lepidosauria; Squamata; Agamidae. The record is from RNAcentral.
CCCGCCGCUGGCCGGAGAGGAGCCGCGGUGCCCUCCCCGCCAAGUGACGCCUGGCCUGCCGCCGCCGGAGCAGCCGCGGCGUCUGCUCUUGGAAAGCCCAUCGCCGGCACGUCUUUUGGAUUUUAGAGGCAGAAAGGAGAAGGGACGCGCGCGCACUCGCAGGAGAGACGCCAGCUGCCUCCGGCCAUGGGGAUCGCCUGCCUGACGGGCUGAGGAGAAGGAGUUGGGGGAGGGAGACCCCCCCUCCACAAUCGGAGCCCCCUCCCUGAAACUGCUCCCGCUUUCCCCCCCCUCCCCCGCCGUGCCUGCUGAGAGAAAACUUCGCUCCGCCUGGGAUCUGUAGUCCUGUGUGUGUGUGUGUGUGUAUGCGCGGAGAAGGGGUACAUCUUUCCUCCUCCGCCAGACGAUCGUGGUCGUGGCCUUUGCAUCGAGAGACCCUUGCCUCCCUGGAGUGCUUUUGAGAAUCCCGGAGCUCUUGCGAGUAGUUUCUGUGAGUCUUUUCUUCCCUCCGCCCGCCCGGCAAAGGUCCCCCCCCUCCUCCUCAUCUUUUCCCCUUCUUUUACCCUGUUGAGCCGCCACGGUCUCUAAGUCAGCGAGGAGCGGCGGCGCCUGCUUCCUCCGGCAGAGCUGUGGCUUCGGCGCCCCGGCCGAGGGCCACGGAUUUGUGGAAGACCCAGAGCCGCGAGACAACGGGAGGCGAGCAACGGGCCGGCGAAACUGCGCUCUCCGCCCCGCCCGCCAGAAUCCUUUGCUGGACCAAGAUGACGCCUCUGGGGCCGCCUUCGCAAGAGCCCCUUCUUUUUCUUUUUUCUUUGCGGGGGAAGGAGAGUUCACUGGGGAAGGCAGGCUUCAGUGGGAUCUAAUUAUUCCCUUCCCGGAUUGCUGUGUGCGGCCUUGGUCCGAAAGGCGUCGGAGGAGCGGUUUCUUCUGAGAUCGGGCCAAAAGGACUGUUUUAAAAAAAGUGAAAAGCAAGGAGCUCCCUACACCGCUCCGCCAGUCUUCCUGUUCCUGUGAGGAUCCGGCCGCAAGCGACAGAAAAAUCAGGGAUUAUUCAGCACUCCCUGUUUCUCAUAUAUAUAUAUAUAUACAGAGAGAGAGAGAGAGAUCUGUCAAGUACUUUGGAAGUUCUCCUCCACCCCAAGCCCGUUGCUCCAGAGUCUGGUCAGCAUGGCAGGGACUACCAACUGUUUGGAGAUAACGUGUUGUGUGAUCUUCGCUCUCCUGGGCGCCCCUCCGGUCAGAGCCCAAGGCAGGAUAUGCAGAUAAAGAGGAAGACAGGAAGAGAACAAGAAAGGAAAGAGUUGGAUGAAGUUACCCAUGGAAGGACAUUGAAGGCAUGCAUGCUACGCUUUCCUCAUGUAUCGCUGUGGGUAGAGUCUCUUAACCAAGCCUCUGGUGAGAGAAAAUCAUGUUCAGACUCUCUGAUGAUGUGACUUCAGUUUGUGCAAGGAUUUUGAAGACAGAUGACAAAAUCCUCUUUUACAGAGUGCCCAUGAUCUCAAGAUGGGUAAAUGGCCAUCAAGAGGCUGGAGAUCUCAUGGCAUUGUAAAAGUGCUGCUUGAGCCCUCAAGGAACCUCCUGCGAGAGCCAGGGGAACCAGGCUUCGCAGUGGAUUUUAUCGGCUCAUAAAUAAAGCCUGAGGAUAAACACUGAAAAGCA